GAUGAAGAACGCAGCGAAAUGCGAUACUUGGUGUGAAUUGCAGAAUCCCGUGAACCAUCGAGUCUUUGAACGCAAGUUGCGCCUCAAGCCAUUAGGUUGAGGGCACGUCUGCCUGGGCGUCACAUAUCGUUGCCUGAUGCCAGUUUCCUCGUGAUGGGUGACUGUGCAGGGCGAAUGAUGGCUUCCCGUGAGCAUUGUUGCCUCAUGGUUGGUUGAAAAUUGAGUCCUUGGUAGGGAGCGCCGUGAUAGAUGGUGGUUGAGUGACGAACGAGACCCAAUCAUGUGAGACCCCUACCGAAUUUGGCCUUCAUGACCCACAUGCGUCUUUGGAACGCUCAUGACGAGACCUCAGGUCAGGCGGGGCUACCCGCUGAGUUUAAGAAUAUCAAUAAGCGGAGGA
Molecule: unclassified non-coding RNA, 400 nt
Filed under: soil metagenome
Description: partial contains 5.8S ribosomal RNA, internal transcribed spacer 2, and large subunit ribosomal RNA
Rfam family: 5.8S ribosomal RNA (bases 1-122)
Source: RNAcentral